Molecule: ribosomal RNA, 512 nt
Filed under: uncultured bacterium
Lineage: Bacteria
Description: bacterial SSU rRNA
Rfam family: Bacterial small subunit ribosomal RNA
Source: RNAcentral
GAUUAUGGCUCAGGAUGAACGCUAGCUACAGGCUUAACACAUGCAAGUCGAGGGCAGCAUGUGGUGCUUGCAACCAAUGAUGGCGACCGGCGCACGGGUGAGUAACGCGUAUCCAACCUGGCCCUUAGUAGGGGAUAGCCCGGCGAAAGUCGGAUUAAUGCCCUAUGUUCUUCAAUGCGGGCAUCUAAGUUGAAGCAAAGAUUGAUCGCUAAGGGAUGGGGAUGCGUCUGAUUAGGUAGUCGGCGGGGUGACGGCCCACCGAGCCGUCGAUCAGUAGGGGUUCUGAGAGGAAGGUCCCCCACAUUGGAACUGAGACACGGUCCAAACUCCUACGGGAGGCAGCAGUGAGGAAUAUUGGUCAAUGGGCGAGAGCCUGAACCAGCCAAGUAGCCGUGCAGGAUGACGGCCCUAUGGGUUGUAAACUGCUUUUAUAUAGGGAUAAAGUGACCCACGUGUGGGUUUUUGUAGGUACUAUAUGAAUAAGGACCGGCUAAUUCCGUGCCAGCCGCGGC